Oncorhynchus keta (chum salmon) is the source of this 415-nucleotide long non-coding RNA. RefSeq lists it as uncharacterized. The transcript has 4 exons. The record is from RefSeq and is a predicted model, not a curated record. Lineage: Eukaryota; Metazoa; Chordata; Actinopteri; Salmoniformes; Salmonidae.
AGAUGACAGGAGCAGGUUAAUAGCCUGAUAUAGACAGUGAUGGUGUAGAGAUGACAGGUUAAAGCCUGAUAUAGACAGUGAUGGUGUAGAGAUGACAGGAGCAGGUUAAAGCCUGAUAUAGACAGUGAUGGUGUAGAGAUGACAGGUUAACAGCCUGAUAUAGACAGUGAUGGUGUAGAGAUGACAGGAGCAGGUUAAAGCCUGAUAUAGACAGUGAUGGUGUAGAGAUGACAGGAGCAGGUUAAAGCCUGAUAUAGACAGUGAUGGUGUAGAGAUGACAGGAGCAGGUUAAAGCCUGAUAUAGACAGUGAUGGUGUAGAGAUGACAGGAGCAGGUUAAAGCCUGAUAUAGACAGUGAUGGUGCAGAGAUGACAGGUUAACAGCCUGAUAUAGACAGUGAUGGUGUAGAGAUGAC